RNAcentral lists this unclassified non-coding RNA (508 nucleotides) under Hevea brasiliensis (rubber tree). The record is from RNAcentral. Lineage: Eukaryota; Viridiplantae; Streptophyta; Magnoliopsida; Malpighiales; Euphorbiaceae.
UUUUUGAUAGAGCUAGGAGGAGACCCCAUAAAGAUUUGCAAGCUUUGCAGUUCCUUUUGCCUUUGAAACUAUAAAAUAAUCUUUUAAUGUUUUAUUAUUCACUAAAUAUAAGAAAAAUACCUAUAAUUGCAUUAAAUAGCAAACAAAGAAUGAGGGGAUGUAUAUAUGUAAUUUUCUAUAUGUGUGUUAACGUAAAACCAGCAUGUAAUUAUGUAAUUCAUGUUGCUGUAAAAUUUCAUGAAAAAUCUUGAAAGCUCUCCUCUAAUGAAAUUCAUUUUGGACUGUGCUGACCUAUUAGAAUUGCAUUUUCUUUUAUGACUAUGGGUGGAUGUGCAAGAACUUGUUUAUUUAAAAGUCUUUUUUUUUUAUUCAGUUUUAUUUUGGAUGUAUGCAUUUAUUUCCUGUUUAAUCGUGUUGGUCUAUCUGAUGUUUUACUUGCAAUUUUCUAUUGCAUGUGGUUUUUGGUCAGAAUACAUUUGUUUGAAUGAUGUUUAAGUUUGUGUUUUCG